GGGCCGGUAGUUCAGCGGUAGAAUAUCCGACUUGCACUCGGAAGGUCAAGGGUUCAAUUCCCUUUCGGUCCA
Molecule: transfer RNA, 72 nt
Filed under: Nitrososphaerota archaeon
Lineage: Archaea; Thermoproteati; Nitrososphaerota
Also listed under: 1 other name
Description: Thaumarchaeota archaeon tRNA-Ala
Rfam family: tRNA
About the family: Transfer RNA (tRNA) molecules are approximately 80 nucleotides in length. Their secondary structure includes four short double-helical elements and three loops (D, anti-codon, and T loops).
Source: RNAcentral